Molecule: ribosomal RNA, 118 nt
Filed under: uncultured bacterium W4-21b
Lineage: Bacteria
Source: RNAcentral
CGGUGGCCUUAGGGGAGGGGAAACACCCGUUCCCAUUCCGAAUACGGUAGUUAAGCCCUCUUCCGCCGAUGGUACUGCGGCCGGAACGGCCGUGGGAGAGUAGGAAACUGCCGGGAUU